ACAUAGCCCCGAUAGGAACGGCAUCCUUUUUUGCUUUUUGUAUCAACUUUCUUUCGAAGAACAAAUGUUCUGAAAGCAAAAAAGAUAUAGUGGAUAGCGGGAAAUAGC
This is a small RNA of Epilithonimonas sp., 108 nucleotides long. It matches the Rfam family "Flavo-1 RNA". The record is from Rfam. Lineage: Bacteria; Pseudomonadati; Bacteroidota; Flavobacteriia; Flavobacteriales; Weeksellaceae.